UUCCCCUUCCUGCAGCUCCAGGAACAUCCCAACCUGAGGAGUGAGGGUCAGCUUAGCUGACUGUGACUCCCCUGUGGCUCUGUAGGUCCUUCUUGUGGAUGGAAAUGGGGUGCUUCACCACCGAGGUAAUCCUGCUCCCAAAAGAGAAGGUCAGGGUGGGUGCUGGGAGAGACUGGGAGAGGGUACUUCCCACCCCACGGCAAGAGCAUCUGCCAGCCAGGCACUGAUGGCUGCUUUCUGGGCUUGUUUUCACCAUCAGGACAGAUCCCCACCCAGAGAAGAGCCCCACUUUCACCCCACCCUCACUGCUACCCUCCUCUUCCCCACAGUACCCUAUGCAGGCCCCUCUCCAGGACCUUGGUCUAGUGCCAGCCUAUCCCCUGUGAAAAGUCAUGGGUCUGAGCUCAGGGCACCCCACCCUCACUACUGUCCCCAAGCUGGACAGUCAGGUCUCUGUCUAGAAUCAGAGUGGCAUUUCCUAUAGAUGAAGGGACCUUGGCCCAGGAGUGGCAUUUCCUAUAGAUGAAGGGACCUUGGCCCAGGAGAGUGCUGAGGUUGAUGGUCACCUGGCCCAAAGCCAAAGGGUAAAUGCAUGCUGACCUGGAUGCUGGUGCUGGGACCAACUGGCUGCUCCAGGGCACGGCACAGGCCAUGGGAAGAUAUGCAGAGGCCUCAGGGCAGCAGCAAAGGGAGAGGAGGAAGGAAGUUGCCAGAAAAUGAAAGGAAGCAGAGGGURAAGUGUUGUGAGCAUGCUGAUCAGGCUACUGGGCCUGCCAGGCAGGAGGCCUCCUCUGCCCCGACCUCACCCAGGACCUCGCAGCCGAGAGGGUCUUGGAGUCUGGUCCCUGAGUGCUCUACUGGUCUGCAGAGGGUGUGGUUCUGUUCAUCCCUCACCCUGCACCCCUCUUCAGGCUGCGUGGCUUACUGCUGCCCAACCCCAUUGCCCCAGUUCACCCUCCUCUGCCCCCUGCCAGGCUUUGGGGUGGCCUGCCACCUUGGCGUCCUCACAGAGCUGCCCUGCAUUGGGGUGGCCAAGAAACUCCUGCAGGUGGAUGGGCUGGAGAACAAUGCCCCGCACAAGRAGAAGAUCCGGCUCCUGCAGGCUGGAGGAGAUACAUUUCCUCUGAUGGGAGGCUCUGGAACUGUCCUGGGAAUGGCCCUGAAGAGCCACAGUCACAGCACCAAGCCUCUCUACAUCUCUGUGGGCCACAAGAUAAGCCUGGAGGCCGCCGUGCGCCUGAYCCAAUGCUGCUGCAGGUUCCGGAUCCCAGAGCCUGUGCGCCAGGCUGACAUCCGCUCUCGAGAACACAUUCGCAGGACUCUGGGACACCUCAGGCCAUCUGAACCAGGGCACGCCAGGAGUCAGAAGGCACAUUGUCCAAAGGCAUGCCCCAAAGGGGGUCCAGGAGAGCCUACAGACCCCUCAGGACCACAGCAGAGGCCCCAGGACAGACUUGGAGGCUCCCAGGAGCAGCAGAGCCGGGACUGGAGUGGAGGAGAUGGGGUGCCAUGAGCACUCGGGCUGCUGGCUUCCCACUCCCGCCUCAGGACAGUAGCUGUGGGGACCUCACCUAACCACAGACUAGCGUUAUCAGGAAGAGCUGCCUUCCUGCACACACACACCAGGCCUGCUGCUGCUUGGGAUGCUGAUCUGCAAUGGAGCACUCUAAUGAUGUCACUGCUGCGGCCUGACUGGCAAACCCCCCUCCCUGGGUGACUGCCCUGGUGUUGGAGGCACCAUGGAGAUGACAAGUUCCUCUUGUCCAGCCAGCUACCAUUGGACAAGGUUUGGGGCAUUAGAUGGCAGGUACGUACCAAGUCUCAGACACAGGACAUCUCCAGCAAGUGAAGUGUGGAUGAGUGCCAGGCUGGUCCCAGGAACAAGAUGGUAGGUAGAGGGUGGCACCUGCCCACUGAGCACCUGUGCACAGGUCAGCCUCCUGGCCAGGACCCCUGUGUAGUCCUGUCCAGGGUGUGAGGAUAACAGGGCCAUAGUGGAAGCCCCCAGGGCUGUCCCCCUAAAAUUUCAUGUCACUGCCCUAAGCAGACCUGGGCUAGGCUCUCCAGGAGACACAUGACUGCCACAGCCCUGCAGGCACUGCACACAAGGAAAGCCAGAAACGAGGUGUUCUCACCCAAGCCCAGGGAGAGGCACACYUUUGGGGGCCCCUUCCCACUGAGGAUGGGAGAGGCUUGCCUGGCCCUUAGGGAGAGAGUGCACCUAAAUCAGCAGUGGCGGGGGCGGAGCCAGGCAGGGAGCUAGGGGGACUCCAGGGGACCUGAGCAGGGGUGACUAGCUGCCAAAGACCCCAGCAGUGUCCAGAUUCCUGUUUCCCCAGCAUGCUCAUAGGAAAGCUGCCACCUUAUUCCACCCACCUGCUGAGGUAGAGGGCCUGAGCUGAGGCCUAGGACCCCUGCCAGGGUGCCCCAGGCCAUCAGGGUCCCCAGGAGGCACAGCCCUGGCCGGCUGCCCACCACACCCCUGACAWGCACUCACCUUGUACCCCCUGGCCCUACCACCCACCCUCCCAGCUUCUUACAGAUUUCUUUAAAUUUAU
Urocitellus parryii (Arctic ground squirrel) is the source of this 2558-nucleotide non-coding RNA. NCBI's taxonomy places the organism in Eukaryota, Metazoa, Chordata, Mammalia, Rodentia, Sciuridae. The record is from RefSeq and is a predicted model, not a curated record.